Pelobates cultripes (western spadefoot toad) is the source of this 408-nucleotide non-coding RNA. The record is from the annotation of a GenBank genome assembly. NCBI's taxonomy places the organism in Eukaryota, Metazoa, Chordata, Amphibia, Anura, Pelobatidae.
CUGGAUACAAAAUAGCACUCCAACUCCCGAACUGGAACCUCCCAAAUAGCUGCUAGCAGACGAACAGGAAAAGCAGACAAUCAGCUUACACUCCUGGCAAUCAGUCUCUAACAGCAUACAGUGAAUCCCCCCAAGAACGAGACAAGGCUCUGUGUUGAGGGUCAAGCAGUGGUCUGAGGUGCUGGCACACCCAGCUUGGUUUUUAUUACAGCCUUUCACAUACAGGACCGCCCAGAGGGAGGUAUAAAACAACCAAUCACAUAUCAGUUACAUCCCACAUAUUCCCUCCCCUUAUCCUGAGAGGAAACUCAAUUACACAUACAGUUAAAACAUACUUUCUACCCAACUUUCAUAACUCUAAAACCAUACAUCACAUUCACAUAAAAUUACAUAUUCACAAUCAAUCCA